This 253-nucleotide ribosomal RNA is filed under the name uncultured bacterium. Its description in RNAcentral is "partial 16S ribosomal RNA". It matches the Rfam family "Bacterial small subunit ribosomal RNA", at positions 524 to 776 of the family's 1533-position model. The record is from RNAcentral.
UACGUAGGGGGCUAGCGUUGUCCGGAUUUAUUGGGCGUAAAGAGCGUGUAGGCGGCCAGGUAGGUCUGGUGUGAAAACUCGAGGCUUAACCUCGAGAUGUCAUCGGAAACCAUCUGGCUAGAGUCCGGAAGAGGAGAGUGGAAUUCCUGGUGUAGCGGUGAAAUGCGCAGAUAUCAGGAGGAACACCGAUGGCGAAGGCAGCUCGCUGGGACGGUACUGACGCUGAGGUGCGAAAGCGUGGGGAGCAAACAGG